UCAGGUCAGGAAGAGAGGGAGGAGACGCGAAAGGAGCACUAUUGACAUGUUGGGGGACAUCGGCGAAGGCAGCUGUCAUUAACAGAUCCGCAUCAUGAAGCAGCUUUAUUUUAACGGGAUCUUGUCAACUCGGCUUCUUUGCCUUUGGAUGUUAUUUAAGGUCUCAUGUGGCCAGUCAGUCUCCACCACAACCUCGCCGAUGACAGUUCCUGGUUCCAGUGAAGACACGCCAACCAUGCCAAGUACAGUAGCUGGUCCUGGUGGAGACAGCACAACCUCUCCUAGUACAGUCCCUGGUCCUGGCGGUGACACCAGAACCUCUCCUAGUACAGUAGCUGGUCCUGGUGGAGACAGCACAACCUCGCCUGGUACAGUGCCCAGGCGUGAUGAAGACACCACAACUUCCCCUAUCACAGGCCCCGGUCCUGGUGAAGACACCACAACCUCGCCUAGUACAUUCCCUGGUCCUGGUGAAGAUGCCACCACCUUGCC
This is a long non-coding RNA of Conger conger (European conger), 492 nucleotides long. RefSeq lists it as uncharacterized. Lineage: Eukaryota; Metazoa; Chordata; Actinopteri; Anguilliformes; Congridae. The record is from RefSeq and is a predicted model, not a curated record. The transcript has 3 exons.